CGCCAUUCGCCUUCUCAUCGCCUCAAUACCAACCUGGAAUUCUAAAGUCGGGUGUUCGAAAUAAGAACACCCAACGUAAGGUUUUAGAACACACUCCCCAAAUAACUUUAAAGCCAGAAGAAGAAAAAGUUAAGAAAGGAAACCCUCGUGGAAGGCUGUAGUCAGCAUGCCUGGCCUUCAGGAGGAACAGUGUCCCAGUGGGACAGAGCUGUUCGCUUCAAAUUUUAUGAAAGAUGUGCUGUCAGACCUGUCCUCUGGGGAAGACAGAAUGCCCCCAUUGAUAUCUGUCCGAAAUACUGUGGUUUGCAUUCCUUUUCGGCUCAUUCAUGCCUUAAGUGUGUCCAGUGCCAUGGCAAUGACACGGGGCAUGCUUCGGUAGAACGCCUCGCUCUCCAAUCCCACGAGGCUGUAGAAGUGCAUGCCUGCCCCCACAACAUCUGGGGAGAGGACAUCAUCUUCUGCUACUGCUCCUGCCUCGACUUCAGGUGCCCUCAGCCAACAACUGCCUCUACAAGGUUCUCGCCUACCCCCACCUGUAUGUUACGAUGGUCAUCUGGGCAGAUGCUAAGGCUUUCUGACACAGUGCUCUCUCAGGUUCAAGCUCCAGCCCUCUAUAGGGAAAAGACAGCAGCUACAAGGGACUGAACUUUUUGCUGCUUUCGGGGAAGACCCUGACUUGGGCCAUGGCGGUGUGGGAGUGAGAGUACUCAGCUUGCUUGAACAGUUCCCUGCGCGAAAGAGAUUUCUGCAUAAUUGCUCAAGACUUCUGAGAAUUUG
Long non-coding RNA from Anguilla anguilla (European eel), 777 nucleotides. RefSeq lists it as uncharacterized. The record is from RefSeq and is a predicted model, not a curated record. Lineage: Eukaryota; Metazoa; Chordata; Actinopteri; Anguilliformes; Anguillidae. The transcript is spliced from 3 exons.